UACGUAGGGUGCAAGCGUUGUUCGGAUUCAUUGGGCGUAAAGGGCAUGUAGGCGGUUAUAUAAGUGUGGAUUUAAAGGUAUAGGCUUAACCUAUUUCAUGGUCUGCAAACUGUAUGACUAGAGUUCAGAAGGGGAAACUGGAAUUCCACGUGUAGGGGUGAAAUCUGUAGAGAUGUGGAAGAAUACCUGUGGCGAAGGCGAGUUUCUGGUCUGAUACUGACGCUGAAAUGCGAAAGUGCGGGGAGCAAACAGG
This 253-nucleotide ribosomal RNA is filed under the name uncultured bacterium. RNAcentral's name for it is "partial 16S ribosomal RNA". It matches the Rfam family "Bacterial small subunit ribosomal RNA", at positions 524 to 776 of the family's 1533-position model. The record is from RNAcentral.